GUGGGGAAUAUUGGGCAAUGGGCGCAAGCCUGACCCAGCAACGCCGCGUGAGGGAAGAAGGCUUUCGGGUUGUAAACCUCUGUCCUUGGUGACGAAACAAAUGACGGUAGCCAAGGAGGAAGCCCCGGCUAACUACGUGCCAGCAGCCGCGGUAAUACGUAGGGGGCGAGCGUUGUCCGGAAUUACUGGGCGUAAAGGGUGCGUAGGUGGCCUUUUAAGUUGGAUGUGAAAUACCCGGGCUUAACUUGGGGGGUGCAUCCAAAACUGGGAGGCUAGAGUGCAGGAGAGGAAAGCGGAAUUCCUAGUGUAGCGGUGAAAUGCGUAGAUAUUAGGAGGAACACCAGUGGCGAAGGUGGCUUUCUGGACUGUAACUGACACUGAGGCACGAAAGCGUGGGGAGCAAACAGGAUUAGAUACCCUGGUAGUCC
This 428-nucleotide ribosomal RNA is filed under the name uncultured bacterium. Its description in RNAcentral is "partial 16S ribosomal RNA". It matches the Rfam family "Bacterial small subunit ribosomal RNA", at positions 354 to 796 of the family's 1533-position model. The record is from RNAcentral.